ACAUUUAGUGUCUGCACCGUUUAAGUUGCGCUGUUCUGUGGUGGCGCCGUUCAUCACUAUGUAGCUGUCAGGUUUUGGCAGAGAUCGGACCCACAUGCACAGCGACGAGGCGACAGACAGAUGGUAAAGUUCAAGGUUUUAAUGCAGUUUUCGUAGUCACAGACAGUCUAGGUCAUGCACGGAUAAACAAACGGAUUGAAGUACAGGAGGGACAGGCGUGAUCGGUUCCAAUAGCGGUCGUGGGUCAAAAACAGAGGGCUCAGAUUUCCAGGUUUAAAUCAGCAGGCUAAGGCAGUUCCAGUAACAGGCAGAGUUCAGCAACAGAGACAACGGGUUUACAGUACCGGUCAGGAUCAGACGAGAAGCGGUAGUCAGGAACACGGAAACAGGUCGGCAACGGGGUAAGCUGAACGAGAGAAUGCUGGAAAGUGAAGUCAUGGAUUCAACGAUCUGGCAACAGGUUAUGGGACCUGGUGGUGGUUAAGUACACAGGCUGACGCAUCCCAGCUACUGAAACGCAAGGAGGUUGUUUCUCAAACUGACGCCACUGCAGGCUGUGGACACACAUCUGCCUUGUAGAAGAGUUGCUGCUCACCUCAGGAGCAAAGAUUAUGUGGAAAAGCUGAUGGAGACCAUCUUCAAUAAAGUCCUGCUGGACCCAGGUCGUUAUAUAGAGGGCCUUGUGAAUAUCCCUGUCCCACCGGCCCUCUGAGCACAAUUUGAGCAGCCUGACAGAAAGAAGAUCAUUAAUGCCAGGAUUUAACAAACCAGCACUAUAAAAGCUAAGUUAAAAACGUGUAUGCUCCAAACACCAUUACAACUGAUCUAACUACCUCUAUAUAUUGUUUACAUUUACAUUUACAUAGGAAAUACUGGACAUUUCAUUAAUCUGCUAUUCUAUGCUUUAUACCUUCUAGAGUGGUGUCAAGGAAAACUGCUGCAUCCUCCAUCUGUACAGCUGCUGCACUGCUUCCGACGUCUUCCAAAAAGUGAUAAAGACAACAAAGAUCCACACACCUCUCCAGCCAACUGCCCAUGACUGUACCUGUUCCACUCCAGAAACUAUGCUUUCAACAUACUGAAACACUGCCCUGAUCCACAAGACCAGGGAAGGUGGGAUGACUUGGACUCUUCGCCCUAGAAGUCCCCAGCACCAGCUGACAAGACCUCUAGGCUAGAUACCUGCAACAACUUGAGAUACACACAGACAUAGUAAUGUCAAAUUUAUGAAGAAAAAAAAAAUAACUACAUUUCUAUUAGUUAUAUAUUUCCACUUGAUAUAUCAUACACCUUACUAACAGCAAUUAAAAUAUAUUAGGUCAAAAUGUAUUUAGAAACAAAACUAUGUAAACCAGAGAUCCCAGGUACAUUAUGAUUAAUCUGUAAAUAGGAAAAUGUUCUAAAAUUGUUUAUGAAUUUCUGAGAUAUUGAUUUAUUCCAUGCAUGUGUAAUUGUCUGAUAUUCUGUAUAUUAAAUGUGUUCUGUAAUGAAUACACAUUCAAACAUA
Betta splendens (Siamese fighting fish) is the source of this 1507-nucleotide long non-coding RNA. RefSeq lists it as uncharacterized. Lineage: Eukaryota; Metazoa; Chordata; Actinopteri; Anabantiformes; Osphronemidae. The transcript is spliced from 4 exons. The record is from RefSeq and is a predicted model, not a curated record.